This 253-nucleotide ribosomal RNA is filed under the name uncultured bacterium. Its description in RNAcentral is "partial 16S ribosomal RNA". It matches the Rfam family "Bacterial small subunit ribosomal RNA", at positions 524 to 776 of the family's 1533-position model. The record is from RNAcentral.
UACGUAGGGUGCGAGCGUUGUCCGGAAUUAUUGGGCGUAAAGGGCUCGUAGGCGGUUUGUCACGUCGGGAGUGAAAACUCGGGGCUCAACCUCGGGUCUGCAGUCGAUACGAGCAAACUAGAGUGUUGCAGGGGAGACUGGAAUUCCUGGUGUAGCGGUGAAAUGCGCAGAUAUCAGGAGGAACACCGGUGGCGAAGGCGGGUCUCUGGGCAACAACUGACGCUGAGGAGCGAAAGCGUGGGGAGCGAACAGG